CGGGGUGAGUAACGCGUGGGUAACCUGCCCUGUACACACGGAUAACAUACCAAAGGUAUGCUAAUACGGGAUAACAUAAGAAAUUCGCAUGUUUUCUUAUCAAAGCUCCGGCGGUACAGGAUGGAUCCGCGUCUGAUUAGCUAGUUGGUGAGGUAACGGCUCACCAAGGCGACGAUCAGUAGCCGACCUGAGAGGGUGAUCGGCCACAUUGGAACUGAGACACGGUCCAA
RNAcentral lists this ribosomal RNA (230 nucleotides) under uncultured bacterium. RNAcentral's name for it is "partial 16S ribosomal RNA". It matches the Rfam family "Bacterial small subunit ribosomal RNA", at positions 104 to 334 of the family's 1533-position model. The record is from RNAcentral.